UUGGGAAUCUUGCACAAUGGGGGAAACCCUGAUGCAGCGACGCCGCGUGGAGGAUGACGGGUCUAGGCCUGUAAACUCCUUUUAUCAGGAAAGACUUAGGACGGUACCUGAUGAAUAAGCCCCGGCUAACUACGUGCCAGCAGCCGCGGUAAGACGUAGGGGGCAAGCGUUGUCCGGAUUUACUGGGCGUAAAGGGCGCGUAGGCGGCCUGUUAAGUGUGAAGUGAAAUCUCCAGAGCUCAACUCGGAAA
This 250-nucleotide ribosomal RNA is filed under the name uncultured bacterium. RNAcentral's name for it is "partial 16S ribosomal RNA". It matches the Rfam family "Bacterial small subunit ribosomal RNA", at positions 355 to 620 of the family's 1533-position model. The record is from RNAcentral.